UGGGGUCACCGACUUCGGUACGAUACCAACAUUCUGGCGGAGAGCCCACGCGAGAAGUACAAGCUGAAAAAAGGAACUGAUGUAUUGUGCUUCUUAGCUAAUUCAACGACGACUGGAUCUUCAAUUAACUUUGGUUCGUGUCUUGCAAUACUUCUGAAGUGGAAUUCUUGCAAAAUGUGGAUGAUACUCCAGUUGGUUAGCACAUGGCGGCACCUUGGCCACUUCAUAUGCAAUUUUCCGGUAUUCCGCGUUAUUCACAUCAUCAUUGUCAGAGUCAUUCGGUUUUGGAUAGUGAACAAGAUACAUAUCGAUAUAGUCGGUUUGAAGAGAUUGUAGAGAUUCUUCGACAAAUCCACGGCAAGCUUCUCGACAAUUUUUGCUUUCUGGGAAGAAUUUGGAUGUCAGGAACACAUCAGAACGAGAUAAUCCAUGCUUA
Non-coding RNA from Caenorhabditis elegans, 436 nucleotides. Ensembl annotates it as ncRNA. Its record names the gene F53F1.14. The record is from Ensembl. Lineage: Eukaryota; Metazoa; Nematoda; Chromadorea; Rhabditida; Rhabditidae.